This 549-nucleotide ribosomal RNA is filed under the name uncultured Rhizophagus. RNAcentral describes it as "SSU rRNA". It matches the Rfam family "Eukaryotic small subunit ribosomal RNA", at positions 548 to 1098 of the family's 1831-position model. Lineage: Eukaryota; Fungi; Glomeromycota; Glomeromycetes; Glomerales; Glomeraceae. The record is from RNAcentral.
UUGGAGGGCAAGUCUGGUGCCAGCAGCCGCGGUAAUUCCAGCUCCAAUAGCGUAUAUUAAAGUUGUUGCAGUUAAAAAGCUCGUAGUUGAAUUUCGGGGUCAGUAGGUUGGUCAUGCCACUGGUAUGUACUGGUCUCACUGAUUCCUCCUUCCUGAUGAGCUGUAAUGCCAUUAAUUUGGUGUUGCGGGGAAUCUGGACUGUUACUUUGAAAAAAUUAGAGUGUUUAAAGCAGGCUAACGCCUGAAUACAUUAGCAUGGAAUAAUGAAAUAGGACGUUCGAUCCUAUUUUGUUGGUUUCUAGGAUUGACGUAAUGAUUAAUAGGGAUAGUUGGGGGCAUUAGUAUUCAAUUGUCAGAGGUGGAAUUCUUGGAUUUAUUGAAGACUAACUACUGCGAAAGCAUUUGCCAAGGAUGUUUUCAUUAAUCAAGAACGAAAGUUAGGGGAUCGAAGACGAUCAGAUACCGUCGUAGUCUUAACCAUAAACUAUGCCGACUAGGGAUCGGAUGAUGUUAAUUUUUUAAUGACUCAUUCGGCGCCUUACGGGAAAC